This 254-nucleotide ribosomal RNA is filed under the name uncultured bacterium. RNAcentral's name for it is "partial 16S ribosomal RNA". It matches the Rfam family "Bacterial small subunit ribosomal RNA", at positions 524 to 776 of the family's 1533-position model. The record is from RNAcentral.
UACGGGGGGAGCAAGCGUUGUUCGGAUUUACUGGGCGUAAAGGGCGCGUAGGCGGCCUCCGCAAGUCAAUUGUGAAAUCUCCGGGCUUAACUCGGAAAGGUCGACUGAUACUGCGGGGCUAGAGUGCGGAAGGGGCAACUGGAAUUCUUGGUGUAGCGGUGAAAUGCGUAGAUAUCAAGAGGAACACCUGCGGCGAAGGCGGGUUGCUGGGCCGACACUGACGCUGAGGCGCGAAAGCUAGGGGAGCGAACGGG